Molecule: long non-coding RNA, 1470 nt
Organism: Oncorhynchus kisutch (coho salmon)
Lineage: Eukaryota; Metazoa; Chordata; Actinopteri; Salmoniformes; Salmonidae
Exons: 3
Source: RefSeq, a predicted model, not a curated record
ACUGAUAGCACAUAAGCUAACGGUUGUGGAUGGAUGGGGCAAGCUUUAGAGCUAGAUGUCCUUUAGUCCUUUCUCUCUCGCUUCCUCAUCUCGCUCUCUCUAUCUCUCUCCAUCUCUUGCUCCCUCUCGCUCUUCUCUCUGUCUCUCGCUGUAACCCCCCCUCUCUUUCUCUCUGCACCUGAAGACAUCCGUCCAUCUGCCAAAUCCUCCUUCAUCAAGUGCUGUCCAGAGGAGAUCUAUCCGCUGCUUUCAACACCGUGAACCAUCAGAUCCUCCUCUCAGGGCUGGGUGUCUCAGGCUCUACACACUCUUAGAUUGCGUCCUGCCUGGCAGGUCCCUCCUACCAGGUGGCGACACCUCGACAAGAUGGAGCUGCUCUUCCCCUUGGGGGAGACCUGCCCACUCCACGGUGUCCCCCUCCCAGAGUGAAUUUUCUCCAAACAUCAAAGCAGUGACUUGGUCCUGUAGGUUCAUACGCUACAACAUCCACAGAGUACGACCCUUCCUCACACAAGAAGCGGUGCAUGUCAUCUCCAAUCUAGACCUAUGCAACUUUCUGUUGGCUGAGCUCCCUGCUUGUGCCAUCAACUUUUCCAGAACGCCGCAGCCCUCCUCGUAUUCAACAUUCCCAAGUUCUCCCAUGUCACCCCACUCCUCCACACACUCCACUGGCUUCCAGCCGAAGCUUGCAUCCAUUAAAAGACCAUGGUGCUUGCCUACGUAGCAUUACAUUUUAGCAGACGCUUUUAUUCAGAGCGAUUUACAGUAGUGCAUUCAUCUUAAGAUAGCUCGGUGAGACAACACCAUAUCACAUUUGUAGCAAAUACAUUUUCACUCAACAAAGUAGUUAUGCCCCUCCCGGCCUUCAGGCUUUGCUCAAACUCUACACCCCAAACCGAGGACUCCGUUCUGCCACCUCUGGUUUCUUGGUCAUCCCACCACUACUGGGGGUCUGCUCCCGCUCAGCCCUGGCGAAUCUCUUCUCUGUCCUGGCACUCCAAUGGUGGAACCAGCUUCCCCCUGAAGCUAGGACAGCAGAGUCCCUGCCCAUCUUCCGAAAAUGUCUGAAACCCUACACCUUCAACCCCUUCAAACCCCUUCAAAUAGUAUCUAAAAUGAAUCCCACUAGCACUGACUACUGAUAACUACUUUAUUGAAGGUAAAUAGACUUGCUAUGACUGUAAUAUGUGGUUGUCUCACCCAGCUUCAGGAGGUGAGGUCAUGUGUGCUAGCAAGGCAGAGGGCCUGGGUAUGAGCCGAAUCAAGGGGAAGUGGUACUCACUCAAAAGCAGCGUAACGUCUUUUACAUUAGCAUAAAAACAAGGCUAUUGAAUGCUGUACUGCCUUGAAACUGGUGACUACGGAUAGAUAUGGAUUUUUGGUUCAGAAUUAUCAUAGAAUGUCAUAUCAGUCUUUGUGAGAGGUCUACUGUAUGCACAUUGACAAUAAAGAGCAUAUCACAAUCCUAAA